Molecule: ribosomal RNA, 376 nt
Filed under: uncultured bacterium
Lineage: Bacteria
Description: bacterial SSU rRNA
Rfam family: Bacterial small subunit ribosomal RNA
Source: RNAcentral
AUUGAACGCUGGCGGCAGGCCUAACACAUGCAAGUCGAGCAGAUGAGUGGAGCUUGCUCCAUGAUUCAGCGGCGGACGGGUGAGUAAUGCCUAGGAAUCUGCCUGGUAGUGGGGGGCAACGUUUCGAAAGGAACGCUAAUACCGCAUACGUCCUACGGGAGAAAGCAGGGACCUUCGGGCCUUGCGCUAUCAGAUGAGCCUAGGUCGGAUUAGCUAGUAGGUGAGGUAAUGGCUCACCUAGGCGACGAUCCGUAACUGGUCUGAGAGGAUGAUCAGUCACACUGGAACUGAGACACGGUCCAGACUCCUACGGGAGGCAGCAGUGGGGAAUAUGGACAAUGGNGAAGCCUGAUCAGCCAUGCCGCGUGUGUGAAGG